RNAcentral lists this transfer RNA (85 nucleotides) under Thermoplasma volcanium GSS1. RNAcentral describes it as "tRNA-Leu (TAA) (tRNA-Leu-TAA-1-1)". It matches the Rfam family "tRNA". From Rfam's summary of the family: Transfer RNA (tRNA) molecules are approximately 80 nucleotides in length. Their secondary structure includes four short double-helical elements and three loops (D, anti-codon, and T loops). Lineage: Archaea; Methanobacteriati; Thermoplasmatota; Thermoplasmata; Thermoplasmatales; Thermoplasmataceae. The record is from RNAcentral.
GCGAGGGUAACUAAGCCAGGCCAACAGUGCAGGACUUAAGAUCCUGUCCCGCAGGGGUUCGCGGGUUCAAAUCCCGCCCCUCGCA